CUAGAUCCCACCAUCCUAUGGACGCCCGACCUCGUCGGCAGAUUUCCUUCGAUUCCUUUCUUGAAUGGCGAGAAUCCGGCCAGCUCGGUCGUCGCUGCUCCCUUCCUGUCGCCGCUCCGGCUCCGGCUCCGGCUCCCGGCGAGCUCUCGCGGGUUCGGCUGGGGAGGCCGGAUGAUACUGGUGAAUUCGAAGCCUCGGAGUUCCUCUCCGGUGGUGACGCCCUCUCUCCGGGAUCCGUUGUUUUGCAGUAUUGCUCUGAGUCGUGGCUGAAGGCGUGCUUGCCGGAGCGUGGGCUCCUUCUUGUCUGGUGCUUACUUGAUGGUUGAAAUAUACGACUGGAAUUGGACGGCUCUUUCUCUAAUUUAGCUUGGCCGUGCCUUUGCUUUUCUUGUUAAAAGCAUUCGCUGCUAGUGGGUUUGU
This 420-nucleotide long non-coding RNA is filed under the name Eucalyptus grandis. Its description in RNAcentral is "long non-coding RNA (EGRA_LNC000430)". The record is from RNAcentral. Lineage: Eukaryota; Viridiplantae; Streptophyta; Magnoliopsida; Myrtales; Myrtaceae.